RNAcentral lists this long non-coding RNA (415 nucleotides) under Salvia miltiorrhiza (redroot sage). RNAcentral describes it as "long non-coding RNA (SMIL_LNC004298)". Lineage: Eukaryota; Viridiplantae; Streptophyta; Magnoliopsida; Lamiales; Lamiaceae. The record is from RNAcentral.
AGGAUUUGGUAAGCUAACACUUCACUAGAACAUAUUAAGUGUAACUUCUAUAUACGCACCUAAACGUUAUCAUAUAUGUCAAAAAAUGAAACAAGUUUUUAUGUUAAAGAUGCUUGUUAUCAACGAAAUAUAGAUAAUUAAGUAGUCCUAAAGGAUAUAUCAUAAAAGCUAGUAGUAUUUUCAAUUUAUCAAGGAGCUAAAAUCGUCACAAGCAUGAUUUAUAUUGUCUAGUGUUCUGAUCAUUAAAAAAAAAAAUAAAAUAAGCAACUAUUAAUGAAAUUUACCCAAAUGAUAAGGGAAAAAAAAUAGGUAAAGGACUCUAAAAUUAAUGAAGCGAAAAGAGAAUGAGAAGAAUGAUUUCCCACCACAAUUUCGGAGUUUCAAGAGGCGAUUCUCCCGUAUCCCUCAAUCUUGG